Molecule: ribosomal RNA, 492 nt
Filed under: uncultured bacterium
Lineage: Bacteria
Description: partial 16S ribosomal RNA
Rfam family: Bacterial small subunit ribosomal RNA
Source: RNAcentral
AGUGAACGCUGGCGGUAGGCCUAACACAUGCAAGUCGAACGGCAGCACAGUAAGAGCUUGCUCUUACGGGUGGCGAGUGGCGGACGGGUGAGGAAUACAUCGGAAUCUACUUUUUCGUGGGGGAUAACGUAGGGAAACUUACGCUAAUACCGCAUACGACCUACGGGUGAAAGCAGGGGAUCUUCGGACCUUGCGCGAUUGAAUGAGCCGAUGUCGGAUUAGCUAGUUGGCGGGGUAAAGGCCCACCAAGGCGACGAUCCGUAGCUGGUCUGAGAGGAUGAUCAGCCACACUGGAACUGAGACACGGUCCAGACUCCUACGGGAAGCAGCAGUGGGGAAUAUUGGACAAUGGGCGCAAGCCUGAUCCAGCCAUACCGCGUGGGUGAAGAAGGCCUUCGGGUUGUAAAGCCCUUUUGUCGGGAAAGAAAAGCAGCAGGUUAAUACCCCGCUGUUCUGACGGUACCCAAAGAAUAAGCACCGGCUAACUUCGUG